Molecule: ribosomal RNA, 404 nt
Filed under: uncultured bacterium
Lineage: Bacteria
Description: partial 16S ribosomal RNA
Rfam family: Bacterial small subunit ribosomal RNA
Source: RNAcentral
AUUGAACGCUGGCGGCAGGCCUAACACAUGCAAGUCGAGCGAGCCGCGGGCGGGUGAGUAAUGCGUGGGACUUGUCCAGUCGGGGGGGAUAACCGUUGGACACGACUGAUAAUAGCGCAUACGAUGAGAUUGCACAGGUGGGAUUCGCUAGUUGGGGAGGUAAUGGCGCACCAAGGCGACGAUCCCUAGCUGGGCUGAGAGGAUGAUCAGCCACACUGUAACUGAGACACGGUCCAGACUCCUACGGGAGGCAGCAGUGGGGAAUAUUGCACAAUGGGGGAAACCCUGAUGCAGCCAUGCCGCGUGUAUGAAGAAGGCCUUCGGGUUGUAAAGCACUUUCAGCGAGGAGGCGUUACUCGCAGAAGAAGCACCGGCUAACUCCGUGCCAGCAGCCGCGGUAAUAC